Larimichthys crocea (large yellow croaker) is the source of this 722-nucleotide long non-coding RNA. RefSeq lists it as uncharacterized. NCBI's taxonomy places the organism in Eukaryota, Metazoa, Chordata, Actinopteri, Sciaenidae. The record is from RefSeq and is a predicted model, not a curated record. The transcript is spliced from 2 exons.
UUAUUUCACCAAGCUCUCACCAACCACUAAAAAUCUGUCGGGUGGAGGUGGAGGUGGAGGUGGAGGUUUCCCUCAAACUGACAUGGAGCCAAUCACAUGAGCCGGAUGACUGGCGCUCCCUGAAGGGACCAAUCAUCAAUCAGUCCUCGUGACACUGGCCAGUGACCUGCCAUCUGUCAAAGAGAGAGCGAGCAGGUGACGGAGAAAGGUUUUUUAUUUUCCUCUGUAAGAUGGAGGGAUGGAGGAGGAACAGGAAGGAUGAACAGAGGAGGCGAUGGAGGAAGAGAGGCGUCCGUCUUCAUCCUCCAUUAGCUCAGAUCUCCAUUAGCUGCUGAUGGAUCGCUGCCAGGAGAGACGUCGGCCUCCGGAGGGCAAAGGUCAUCCAGCUUUCUCAGAGACACUUUCUUCAUCUCCUCCUCCUCCUCCUCCUCCUCCUCCUCCUUCAGGUUGUAACUCUCAUUGUCUCUGACAGCCUGUGGACUGUUUCUAUGCAAAGGACUCGCCAAGACGUUCACGUUCCGAGCAAAGGCGUCCGUGAACAUCAACAAACGACCGGCACCAGGACCGCCCUCGCAGUGCGCUGCCGGUCCCGUGGGUGUGGUACUGGCAGGACGCUGUUCCCCGGGCCGGAGGCUGGAGCCGACCGUCGAGGACUGAAACAAGAACAUUUGAAGUAUUUUUGUUUUACUUGAUGUAAAUAAAUGGAUCCUUCUUAAACCACA